GUGCCAGCAGCCGCGGUAAUACGGAGGGUGCGAGCGUUGUCCGGAAUCACUGGGCGUAAAGGGCGCGUAGGCGGCCCGGUAAGUAGGGGGUGAAAUCUUGCGGCUCAACCGCAAGGCUGCCUCCUAGACUGCCAGGCUCGAGCACAGUAGAGGCAGGUGGAAUUCCCGGUGUAGCGGUGGAAUGCGUAGAGAUCGGGAAGAACAUCAGUGGCGAAGGCGGCCUGCUGGGCUGUUGCUGACGCUGAGGCGCGACAGCGUGGGGAGCAAACAGGAUUAGAUACCCCCGUAGUCC
Molecule: ribosomal RNA, 292 nt
Filed under: uncultured bacterium
Lineage: Bacteria
Description: partial 16S ribosomal RNA
Rfam family: Bacterial small subunit ribosomal RNA
Source: RNAcentral